This 429-nucleotide ribosomal RNA is filed under the name Chloroflexota bacterium. RNAcentral's name for it is "Chloroflexi bacterium partial 16S ribosomal RNA". It matches the Rfam family "Bacterial small subunit ribosomal RNA", at positions 355 to 776 of the family's 1533-position model. The record is from RNAcentral. Lineage: Bacteria; Bacillati; Chloroflexota.
UGGGGAAUAUUGCACAAUGGGCGCAAGCCUGAUGCAGCCAUGCCGCGUGUAUGAAGAAGGCCUUCGGGUUGUAAAGUACUUUCAGCGGGGAGGAAGGGAGUAAAGUUAAUACCUUUGCUCAUUGACGUUACCCGCAGAAGAAGCACCGGCUAACUCCGUGCCAGCAGCCGCGGUAAUACGGAGGGUGCAAGCGUUAAUCGGAAUUACUGGGCGUAAAGCGCACGCAGGCGGUUUGUUAAGUCAGAUGUGAAAUCCCCGGGCUCAACCUGGGAACUGCAUCUGAUACUGGCAAGCUUGAGUCUCGUAGAGGGGGGUAGAAUUCCAGGUGUAGCGGUGAAAUGCGUAGAGAUCUGGAGGAAUACCGGUGGCGAAGGCGCCCCCCUGGACGAAGACUGACGCUCAGGUGCGAAAGCGUGGGGAGCAAACAGG